AUACUUACCUGAUCGGGGAGAUACCGUGAUCACGAAGGUGGUGUUCCCAGGGCGAGGUUUAUUCGUUGUACUCGGGAUGUGUUGGUCUCUGCGAUUUCCCCAAAUGUGGGAAGUUUGACUGCAUAAUUUGUGGUAGUGGGGGACUGCGUCUGCGCUUUCCCUGG
Molecule: small nuclear RNA, 164 nt
Organism: Heterocephalus glaber (naked mole-rat)
Lineage: Eukaryota; Metazoa; Chordata; Mammalia; Rodentia; Bathyergidae
Gene: U1
Rfam family: U1 spliceosomal RNA
About the family: U1 is a small nuclear RNA (snRNA) component of the spliceosome (involved in pre-mRNA splicing). Its 5' end forms complementary base pairs with the 5' splice junction, thus defining the 5' donor site of an intron.
Source: Ensembl